UCACCAGCCCCAGUCCUGGGUUUUGUUGUUCCCAAGAUUGUUCCAGCAACAUUCUAACUCAGUCUAAAUGUGACAGCCAGCCUCCACCUUUCUUACAUCCGAGAGCCAGAUGGCAGUGAGCGGCUGAGUGUGGGGCCUGCUAGAGAUGCAGGUUUUCCUUAGAAGCUGACAGCCAUGCUUGUUCUGGAAGUAUUAGCUUACCCAGCUCUGGGUACUAUGAACAGCGAGGUAAUUACUGCAGCCUCAUUGGUCCAUCUCAGCCAGUUAGAGGAAGGCUUUCCAAGGGGCAAAGGGACUCAUUACCCAGCCACCAGGGCCCUGACCCUCCUCCUUAGAAGUGGUGUGAGCUGCAAUUAGGGGCUUUGGAAUGGGGAUAACUGACUGCUGGGCCAUAAAUAAUGCAAUCUACCCUGUCUCGCAGUGACUGAAGCUGCCACGGUCACACGGCUUUUAGUUUGGAAACCUGGCCCUCUGUCCUCCGUGCAGCUGGUGUAGGCUGUGUGAUCUCAUGGAGUUCUUAGCCAGUGAGCCUCAGCAGCAUUCCAAUCUACAGACUAAGGCAGUACAGGUAAUGUGCUUGCAGCGGUUAGACAGGGAGAAGCAGGAGUCUGCCUCCUGUGUGCUCAUUGGCAGGAAUGAGGAUCAGGGUUAGGAUCAGCCACCUUGGAUUAUUUGGAUUUCCCACUGUGCACCGUUUGCAUCCUGCACCCUGGGGAUGGAGCCCAGGGCCUUAGAGGAAUCAAUAAAAAAUUGCCAAUUAACUUUAUUGUUAGCGAAUGGGUGUGGGUGGGACACGUGCAUGCCACAGACAGGAUGGCCAGAGGUGAAAGCCAGAGGACAAGGUUUGGGAGUUUGUAUGGGUGUUUUGUUUUGUUUUUUGUUUUUGUUUUUCCGAGACAGGGUUUCUCUGUCCUGGAACUCACUCUGUAGACCAGGCUGGCCUCGAACUCAGAAAUCCACCUGCCUCUGCCUCCCAAGUGCUGGGAUUAAAGGUGUGUGCCACCACUGCCACCACUGCCCGGUGGUUUGGGAGUUUGUGUCCCUCUACUGUGAGCUCUGGGGAUUGAACUCAGCUCAUGAGGCUUCACCAGCUUAGCCAUGUCGCUGGCCCCUUUCCCCCAACUUCUUCCCACCCUGAGCCAGCCUUGUUCUGUAAGAUGUCUUGGACUCACCCCACUGCUGGCUUUCCAGACCUCAUAGCUUCUCCAAGCCUCAGCUGUUUCCCUCCUUCACUUCCUGUCUCUCCAGAGAGGCCCUCUGCCUCCUCUCUCUAACCCAGUCAGCAGCAGACAGAGGAGCCAUUACUCCACCAGGACACGCCUUCCAGGCUGACAUUCUUGACCUCUGACUGCAUGGUCAGAGUUAUACAAAUUCUGUGUCUGUGUACAUGUGUGUAAGUACAUGUACACAUGUAGGUGUGUGGGUGUGCACACAGAGAUCAGAGGAAGCCCUGGGCUGUCAUUUAUGUCCUGUCUACCUGGUGUUUUGGGACAGGGUCUCUCUCAGGCCAGCUAGGCUGGCUAGGCCUCCCUCCACCCUGAGCACAGGGCUCUAAGGUCGCAGCACCUUGCCUGCCUUAAGAGUUCUUUUCUUCAUUUUUUUUUAAAGAUUAUUUUAUUUUAUUUUAUUUUAUAGGAGUACACUGUAACUAUCUUCAGUCACACCAGAAGAGGGCAUCAGGUCCCAUUACAGGUGGUUGUGAGCCACCAUAUGGUUGCUGGGAUUUGAACUCAGGACCUUCAGAAGAGCAGUCAGUGCUCUUACCCGCUGAGCCGGCUCUUUCCUUCUUGAGAUGUACUUUUCCCCUGGGCUCCCUCCUGUCCUUUUUUCCACCCUUGCCUUGACUGUUCCUGUGGGCUGAAGCCUCCUCUCUCCAGGCAGCCUUCAACUGCUGCUCCUGCUGUGGCUCCUGCUGGUUAUCCAGCCAGUUAUCCAGCACAUUGCCCCUGAGCUGUCCCCAGGCCAGUGUCUUUGUUGUUAGUAUCUAGUUUCUGACUCACUCCUGAUCCUUGAGUUUUACUGUAGUUUAUCCUCCUGUUAUCAGCCUCCUGUGGCUGUAACAAAGUGUCUGAAAUAAUCAACUUAUAUCAAAGUGUCUGAAACAAUCAAUUUAUCAAGAAGGAAGAUUUGGCUAGGCCGUAGCACAUGCCUUUAAUUCCAGCACUUGGGAGGGAAUGACAGAUUAAUCUCUGUGAGUUCAAGGCCAACCUGGUUUACAAUCAGGCUACACAGAGAAGCCCUAUUUC
RNAcentral lists this long non-coding RNA (2246 nucleotides) under Mus musculus (house mouse). RNAcentral describes it as "long non-coding RNA chr9:121319384-121321630". Lineage: Eukaryota; Metazoa; Chordata; Mammalia; Rodentia; Muridae. The record is from RNAcentral.